RNAcentral lists this microRNA (22 nucleotides) under Macaca fascicularis (crab-eating macaque). RNAcentral describes it as "novel_miR20-3p". Lineage: Eukaryota; Metazoa; Chordata; Mammalia; Primates; Cercopithecidae. The record is from RNAcentral.
AUCAUCCUGGCUCUAUCCCUAG